This 386-nucleotide ribosomal RNA is filed under the name uncultured bacterium. RNAcentral describes it as "bacterial SSU rRNA". It matches the Rfam family "Bacterial small subunit ribosomal RNA", at positions 356 to 759 of the family's 1533-position model. The record is from RNAcentral.
AGGGAAUAUUGGUAAUGUGCGAAAGCGCGAACCAGCAACGCCGCGUGCACGAUGAAGGCCUUCGGGUUGUAAAGUGCUUUUAGAGAGGAUGAGGAAGGACAGUACUUUCUGAAUAAGCCUCGGCUAACUACGUGCCAGCAGCCGCGGUAAAACGUAGGAGGCUAGCGUUAUCCGGAUUUACUGGGCGUAAAGCGCGUGCAGGUGGUUUCGUAAGUUGGAUGUGAAAGCUCCUGGCUUAACUGGGAGAGGUCGUUCAAAACUGCGAGGCUUGAGAGGGGUAGAGGGAGGUGGAAUUCCGGGUGUAGUGGUGAAAUGCGUAGAUAUCCGGAGGAACACCAGUGGCGAAAGCGGCCUCCUGGACCAUUUCUGACACUCAGACGCGAAAG